RNAcentral lists this ribosomal RNA (413 nucleotides) under uncultured bacterium. Its description in RNAcentral is "bacterial SSU rRNA". It matches the Rfam family "Bacterial small subunit ribosomal RNA", at positions 29 to 430 of the family's 1533-position model. The record is from RNAcentral.
AACGAACGUUAGCGGCGCGCUUAACACAUGCAAGUCGAACGAGAAAGGGCUUCGGCCCCGGUACAGUGGCGCACGGGUGAGUAACACGUGGAUAAUCUUCCCUCGGGCGGGGGAUAACAUUCCGAAAGGAGUGCUAAUACCGCAUAAGACCACGUUCUCGAAAGGGAACGAGGUAAAAGCCGGCCUCUAUAUAUAAGCUGGCACCUGAGGAUGAGUCCGCGGCCCAUCAGCUAGUUGGUAGGGAAUGGCCUACCAAGGCUAAGACGGGUAGCUGGUCUGAGAGGAUGAUCAGCCACACUGGAACUGAGACACGGUCCAGACUCCUACGGGAGGCGGCAGUGGGGAAUCUUGCGCAAUGGGCGAAAGCCUGACGCAGCGACGCCGCGUGAGUGAUGAAGGCCUCGGUUGUAAGU